GACGAACGCUGGCGGCGUGCUUAACACAUGCCAGUCGAACGGAAAGGCCUGCUUUCCCUUGUGGAUUGCGGGUACUCGAGUGGCGAACGGGUGAGUAACACGUGAGUGAUCUGCCCCCAACUUGGGUAUAAGCCUGGGAAACUGGGUCUAAUUCCCGAUAGGACUGCAGGGUGGUGCCUGUGGUGGAAAACGAUUUUCUAGUGGUUGGGGAUGAGCUCGCGGCCUAUCAGCUUGUUGGUGGGGUAAUGGCCUACCAAGGCGGCGACGGGUAGCCGGCCUGAGAGGGUGGACGGCCACAUUGGGACUGAGAUACGGCCCAGACUCCUACGGGAGGCAGCAGUGGGGAAUAUUGCACAAUGGGCGGAAGCCUGAUGCAGCGACGCCGCGUGGGGGAUGACGGCCUUCGGGUUGUAAGCUCCUUUCGACCGCGAGGAAGCCACCUGGUUGGAAGGGUGGUGACGGUAGUGGUAGAAGAAGCACCGGCUAACUACGUG
RNAcentral lists this ribosomal RNA (494 nucleotides) under uncultured bacterium. RNAcentral's name for it is "partial 16S ribosomal RNA". It matches the Rfam family "Bacterial small subunit ribosomal RNA", at positions 28 to 507 of the family's 1533-position model. The record is from RNAcentral.